RNAcentral lists this ribosomal RNA (252 nucleotides) under uncultured bacterium. RNAcentral's name for it is "partial 16S ribosomal RNA". It matches the Rfam family "Bacterial small subunit ribosomal RNA", at positions 524 to 777 of the family's 1533-position model. The record is from RNAcentral.
UACGGAGGGAGCUAGCGUUGUCCGGAAUUAUUGGGCGUAAAGAGCUCGUAGGCGGCCUGUUGCGUCCGCUGUGAAAGCCCGGGGCUUAACCCCGGGUCUGCAGUGGAUACGGGCAGGCUAGAGGUAGGUAGGGGAGAAUGGAAUUCCCGGUGUAGCGGUGAAAUGCGCAGAUAUCGGGAGGAACACCGGUGGCGAAGGCGGUUCUCUGGGCCGUACUGACGCUGAGAGCGAAAGCGUGGGGAGCGAACAGGA